UCCAGAAAUAGCAACCAUUUAAUUGCUGAUAAGAGCAAAAAACAGCAGGAUCCGCAGACUCGAUUCAAAGAGUAUUUUAAUGAUGUUAUUUUUGAAAGAUUGAAGACAGAGCAAAAA
Molecule: long non-coding RNA, 117 nt
Filed under: Polistes fuscatus (common paper wasp)
Lineage: Eukaryota; Metazoa; Arthropoda; Insecta; Hymenoptera; Vespidae
Description: uncharacterized LOC122520367
Source: RNAcentral